CCUACGGGUGGCAGCAGAGAGGAAUAUUGGUCAAUGGACGCAAGUCUGAACCAGCCAUGCCGCGUGCAGGAAGACGGCUCUAUGAGUUGUAAACUGCUUUUGUACGAGGGUAAACGCAGAUACGCGUACCUGUCUGAAAGUACCGUACGAAUAAGGAUCGGCUAACUCCGUGCCAGCAGCCGCGGUAAUACGGAGGAUUCAAGCGUUAUCCGGAUUUAUUGGGUUUAAAGGGUGCGUAGGCGGUCGGAUAAGUUAGAGGUGAAAUCCCGGGGCUCAACUUCGGAAUUGCAUCUGAUACUGUUCGGCUAGAGGGUAGUAGCGGUAGGCGGAAUGUGUGGUGUAGCGGUGAAAUGCUUAGAGAUCAUGCAGAACACCGAUUGCGAAGGCAGCUUACCAGGCU
This 400-nucleotide ribosomal RNA is filed under the name uncultured bacterium. RNAcentral's name for it is "partial 16S ribosomal RNA". It matches the Rfam family "Bacterial small subunit ribosomal RNA", at positions 338 to 735 of the family's 1533-position model. The record is from RNAcentral.